Molecule: long non-coding RNA, 657 nt
Filed under: Cavia porcellus (domestic guinea pig)
Lineage: Eukaryota; Metazoa; Chordata; Mammalia; Rodentia; Caviidae
Description: lncRNA (ENSCPOG00000036918.1)
Source: RNAcentral
CUGUGCUCAGGAGGGCGCAGUGACAGCUGCCACAGCCCAGCCUGAACCCCAUGCCCGGCUGCUAGAAGGUGCUGCAGGGUGGCUUCCCCUUCUGCUGCGGCAGCUCAGUGCUGUCUCUGAGUUACCUGGAAGCCCAGGAGGGCACCAGAGCACUUGAUGGAGGAUGAGACACAUGUGUGGGGGAGCUGGCACCGCUCUAAUGAGCUCCACACAGGCUGGCUUCUCCAUCAGGUGACAUUUCUCAGAACCUAUCCUCCCCCGCUGACCCGCCUGGAAUCCACUAGAGCCCAGCCUGGCGGGCAGAACUGGAUCGGUGCUUGGAAGAACGCUGGCACCAUGCAAAGAAUCCUCGCCACACUGCAGACACCCAUGUCUGGUCUCCCCACGCUGCACUGCAGGCCAACUGUUCUGAGCUAGGCCAGAAAGACGCUCCUGAGAGGCCCCCUCCCCCGCGCACGCGCACAUUGCUCUGGGCACGCGCCCUAGCCCUGGCUACGCUGCAGCUCUGGUCCCACUGCCCCACACCCUGGGCCUGGCAGGAUCUGCAACGUUAUGACUAUGGAAACGUAAAUUAAUUAAAAACUAAUGAGUUAAUGAUUAACAGUUCUGUUCCUUCGUCAUGUUAGUCACAUUCCAAGCCCUCAAUGGCCUCUUGUG